RNAcentral lists this ribosomal RNA (1602 nucleotides) under Escherichia coli. RNAcentral's name for it is "partial 23S ribosomal RNA". It matches the Rfam family "Bacterial large subunit ribosomal RNA", at positions 1291 to 2873 of the family's 2925-position model. The record is from RNAcentral. Lineage: Bacteria; Pseudomonadati; Pseudomonadota; Gammaproteobacteria; Enterobacterales; Enterobacteriaceae.
CGAAUGCUGACAUAAGUAACGAUAAAGCGGGUGAAAAGCCCGCUCGCCGGAAGACCAAGGGUUCCUGUCCAACGUUAAUCGGGGCAGGGUGAGUCGACCCCUAAGGCGAGGCCGAAAGGCGUAGUCGAUGGGAAACAGGUUAAUAUUCCUGUACUUGGUGUUACUGCGAAGGGGGGACGGAGAAGGCUAUGUUGGCCGGGCGACGGUUGUCCCGGUUUAAGCGUGUAGGCUGGUUUUCCAGGCAAAUCCGGAAAAUCAAGGCUGAGGCGUGAUGACGAGGCACUACGGUGCUGAAGCAACAAAUGCCCUGCUUCCAGGAAAAGCCUCUAAGCAUCAGGUAACAUCAAAUCGUACCCCAAACCGACACAGGUGGUCAGGUAGAGAAUACCAAGGCGCUUGAGAGAACUCGGGUGAAGGAACUAGGCAAAAUGGUGCCGUAACUUCGGGAGAAGGCACGCUGAUAUGUAGGUGAAGCGACUUGCUCGUGGAGCUGAAAUCAGUCGAAGAUACCAGCUGGCUGCAACUGUUUAUUAAAAACACAGCACUGUGCAAACACGAAAGUGGACGUAUACGGUGUGACGCCUGCCCGGUGCCGGAAGGUUAAUUGAUGGGGUCAGCGCAAGCGAAGCUCUUGAUCGAAGCCCCGGUAAACGGCGGCCGUAACUAUAACGGUCCUAAGGUAGCGAAAUUCCUUGUCGGGUAAGUUCCGACCUGCACGAAUGGCGUAAUGAUGGCCAGGCUGUCUCCACCCGAGACUCAGUGAAAUUGAACUCGCUGUGAAGAUGCAGUGUACCCGCGGCAAGACGGAAAGACCCCGUGAACCUUUACUAUAGCUUGACACUGAACAUUGAGCCUUGAUGUGUAGGAUAGGUGGGAGGCUUUGAAGUGUGGACGCCAGUCUGCAUGGAGCCGACCUUGAAAUACCACCCUUUAAUGUUUGAUGUUCUAACGUGGACCCGUGAUCCGGGUUGCGGACAGUGUCUGGUGGGUAGUUUGACUGGGGCGGUCUCCUCCUAAAGAGUAACGGAGGAGCACGAAGGUUGGCUAAUCCUGGUCGGACAUCAGGAGGUUAGUGCAAUGGCAUAAGCCAGCUUGACUGCGAGCGUGACGGCGCGAGCAGGUGCGAAAGCAGGUCAUAGUGAUCCGGUGGUUCUGAAUGGAAGGGCCAUCGCUCAACGGAUAAAAGGUACUCCGGGGAUAACAGGCUGAUACCGCCCAAGAGUUCAUAUCGACGGCGGUGUUUGGCACCUCGAUGUCGGCUCAUCACAUCCUGGGGCUGAAGUAGGUCCCAAGGGUAUGGCUGUUCGCCAUUUAAAGUGGUACGCGAGCUGGGUUUAGAACGUCGUGAGACAGUUCGGUCCCUAUCUGCCGUGGGCGCUGGAGAACUGAGGGGGGCUGCUCCUAGUACGAGAGGACCGGAGUGGACGCAUCACUGGUGUUCGGGUUGUCAUGCCAAUGGCACUGCCCGGUAGCUAAAUGCGGAAGAGAUAAGUGCUGAAAGCAUCUAAGCACGAAACUUGCCCCGAGAUGAGUUCUCCCUGACUCCUUGAGAGUCCUGAAGGAACGUUGAAGACGACGACGUUGAUAGGCCGGGUGUGUAAG